Molecule: long non-coding RNA, 522 nt
Organism: Oncorhynchus nerka (sockeye salmon)
Lineage: Eukaryota; Metazoa; Chordata; Actinopteri; Salmoniformes; Salmonidae
Exons: 3
Source: RefSeq, a predicted model, not a curated record
ACAAGAAAUAUUAUAUAGUUUGGUGGACGUAGUGUGGACAUUACAAAUGAUGGACGCUGUGAACGCUGCUGGUCGGAACCUCUAAAGAAGAAGAAAAAGUGGUCCGACAAAAAGGAGCCUCUUACACAGACAAAGUGUUGGUGCCACAGCGGGGGAUAAGGGGACACCGGAGCUCAAACCCCUUGAUGAGCCACUUGCCGCUGAAUCCCUCCUGAGUGAAUAGUGACGGUGGUGGAACACGGACAUGCAAGACGCACCGGAUCAUCCAGUCUUUAGUCGCGAAGUGUUCCAGCGGGGUCGGUGGUGCUGCAGCUGAGCAGGAGCGGCGUUCGCGCAACCCCAGCGUCUCCACUUAACCUCGUGCGUCACAACCCUCCAGCGCCGUGUCCUCAGAUGCAGUCCUGAAAACGCAAAGAGACACAAUCGAUGCUAUUAACGAGGUUGCCAAAUGAGUUGGUGGAAAUGUUGUGUGACAUAAGCUGUACAUUGAAAUAAUUACUCAAUAAAUAGUGUUUGUUUUCA